GGAUGUGAGAGUGAUCUGGCUGUGACAUCUGUCACCCCACUGAUCACCAGGGUUGGUUCAGCUGAUCUGGCUGGCUAGGCGGGUGUCCCCUUCCUCCCUCAGUGCUCCAUGUGCGUCCCUCCUGGUGCUGCACGCUCAAAGAGGACAACCGUCCCCAAUAGAGGAGGACCUUUCUUCAGUCAAGGGGAUGUGAGUUAGCUGCGCUCCCCUGCUAGAACCUCCAAAUAAGCUCAAGAAAUUAAAAAAAACAAGAACAAAAUAAACCCAAAGCAAAGGAAGGAAAUAAUAAAGAGCAAUUA
This 299-nucleotide small nuclear RNA is filed under the name Microcebus murinus (gray mouse lemur). Its description in RNAcentral is "7SK RNA (ENSMICG00000029114.2)". It matches the Rfam family "7SK RNA". Rfam says of the family: 7SK was discovered as an abundant small nuclear RNA in the mid-70s but a possible function has only recently been suggested. Lineage: Eukaryota; Metazoa; Chordata; Mammalia; Primates; Cheirogaleidae. The record is from RNAcentral.